RNAcentral lists this transfer RNA (64 nucleotides) under Gebiacantha plantae. Its description in RNAcentral is "tRNA-Arg". Lineage: Eukaryota; Metazoa; Arthropoda; Malacostraca; Decapoda; Upogebiidae. The record is from RNAcentral.
AAUUAGAAAGUGAAGAAUUACAUUUAGUUUCGGCCUAAACUUUGGUCAUCAAGACCUCUAAUUU